AGUGAACGCUGGCGGUAGGCCUAACACAUGCAAGUCGAACGGCAGCACAGUAAGAGCUUGCUCUUACGGGUGGCGAGUGGCGGACGGGUGAGGAAUACAUCGGAAUCUACUUUUUCGUGGGGGUUAACGUAGGGAAACUUACGCUAAUACCGCAUACGACCUACGGGUGAAAGCAGGGGAUCUUCGGACCUUGCGCGAUUGAAUGCGCCGAUGUCGGAUUAGCUAGUUGGCGGGGUAAAGGCCCACCAAGGCGACGAUCCGUAGCUGGUCUGAGAGGAUGAUCAGCCACACUGGAACUGAGACACGGUCCAGACUCCUAAGGGAGGCAGCAGUGGGGAAUAUUGGACAAUGGGCGCAAGCCUGAUCCAGCCAUACCGCGUGGGUGAAGAAGGCCUUCGGGUUGUAAAGCCCUUUUGUUGGGAAAGAAAAGCAGCAGGUUAAUACCCCGCUGUUCUGACGGUACCCAAAGAAUAAGCACCGGCUAACUUCGUG
RNAcentral lists this ribosomal RNA (492 nucleotides) under uncultured bacterium. RNAcentral's name for it is "partial 16S ribosomal RNA". It matches the Rfam family "Bacterial small subunit ribosomal RNA", at positions 29 to 507 of the family's 1533-position model. The record is from RNAcentral.